Long non-coding RNA from Rhagoletis zephyria (snowberry fruit fly), 337 nucleotides. RefSeq lists it as uncharacterized. Lineage: Eukaryota; Metazoa; Arthropoda; Insecta; Diptera; Tephritidae. The record is from RefSeq and is a predicted model, not a curated record.
UGCAAACGAAAAGGACGAUCUACCACUUUCUUUUGUAAUUAAACUUCGUGCUGCGCGGAGCAACACUAAAGGAUUUAAACGUUUAAUUCCCCUAUAGCGCUAUUGGUUUGGCAACGACUGCGGCAAUAAGAAGUACGGAUAAUAAUAUUAUUUAUUACCACUUUUUACUUAAUUAAAUUUUCCGAUUUCCAAUGGAGUUUAAUCUUUCACUUUAUUUUCUUAGGUGCUUUUCGUCGAAAAUUUAACUCCGACAAAGAAGUUUUUAUUUCCGUUUCAAAGAAGCACUUCCAAUAUGCACACAACCGGCAAAAAAAUUCGCGCCUAUCUGCAAAAAAAA